This 887-nucleotide ribosomal RNA is filed under the name uncultured bacterium. RNAcentral describes it as "bacterial SSU rRNA". It matches the Rfam family "Bacterial small subunit ribosomal RNA", at positions 56 to 936 of the family's 1533-position model. The record is from RNAcentral.
UGCANGUCGAGGGGUAGCAUGAUUGUAGCAAUACAAUUGAUGACGACCGGCAAACGGGUGCGGAACACGUACACAACCUUCCUACAAGUGGGGAAUAGCCCAGAGAAAUUUGGAUUAAUACCCCGUAACAUAGCGAUGUGGCAUCACAUUGCUAUUAUAGCUUCGGCGCUUGUUGAUGGGUGUGCGGCUGAUUAGAUAGUUGGCGGGGUAACGGCCCACCAAGUCUACGAUCAGUAGCUGAUGUGAGAGCAUGAUCAGCCACACGGGCACUGAGACACGGGCCCGACUCCUACGGGAGGCAGCAGUAAGGAAUAUUGGACAAUGGACGCAAGUCUGAUCCAGCCAUGCCGCGUGAAGGAUUAAGGUCCUCUGGAUUGUAAACUUCUUUUAUAAGGGACGAAAAAAGGUCUUUCUAGAUCGUCUGACGGUACCUUAUGAAUAAGCACCGGCUAACUCCGUGCCAGCAGCCGCGGUAAUACGGAGGGUGCAAGCGUUAUCCGGAUUCACUGGGUUUAAAGGGUGCGUAGGCGGGCAGGUAAGUCAGUGGUGAAAUCCUAGAGCUCAACUCUAGAACUGCCAUUGAUACUAUCUGUCUUGAAUAUUGUGGAGGUAAGCGGAAUAUGUCAUGUAGCGGUGAAAUGCUUAGAUAUGACAUAGAACACCUAUUGCGAAGGCAGCCUACUACGCAUAUAUUGACGCUGANGCACGAAAGCGUGGGGAUCAAACAGGAUUAGAUACCCUGGUAGUCCACGCCCUAAACGAUGGAUACUCGACAUACGCGAUACACUGUGUGUGUCUGANCGAAAGCAUUAAGUAUCCCACCUGGGAAGUACGUCCGCAAGGAUGAAACUCAAAGGAAUUNGNCGGGGGUCCGCACNAGCGGNGGA